This 1060-nucleotide long non-coding RNA is filed under the name Gallus gallus (chicken). Its description in RNAcentral is "lncRNA (ENSGALG00010027762.1)". Lineage: Eukaryota; Metazoa; Chordata; Aves; Galliformes; Phasianidae. The record is from RNAcentral.
UUAGAUUGCACAAGUAUUUGUUUAUUACAGCACUGUUUCCUCAAGACAUGACUUGUACAAUUGUAUGCACACUACAGCAAUGCCUACAUGUUGACAAACAAAACACGAAUAGACUGAUUCCAUACAAUUCCAAGACACCGUUUACAGGCGCAGCACCCGCGUACUCCAUACAAUUCCAAGACACCGUUUACAGGCGCAGCACCCGCGUACUCCAUACAAUUCCAAGACACCGUUUACAGGCGCAGCACCCGCGUACUCCAUACAAUUCCAAGACACCGUUUACAGGCGCAGCACCCGCGUACUCCGUACAUUUUAAGGCAUGGUUUACAUAUGUGUUAUAUGUCAGACUCACAAGACAAAGGUCACAAAGCCUCCACAUCCAAUAAAUAACAUUACAUUUACACUAAUAUUGUGUACUGCAACCCACCUCAAGAGCAGAGCAGAUCUCAGCCCACCUGAAGUAAAUGCAAGCCUCAGACUGGCCGGGAAGGAGCGCAAAUAGGCUCAGUUGGUUACGGGGUUGGAUUAGCCCUGCGGUACAAACAAACAAAGCAAAGCUAACCCAACCCCGUAAGCAAGGCAAAGCUAAAGCCAAUUUGGCUGAGAUCAAUUGAUUGCAAAGCUAAAGCCAAUUGGGUUGAGAUCAAUUGACUGCAAAGCUAAAGCCAAUUUGGGCAAGAUAAAUUGACUGCACCUGCCAAAAUCGGUGCAACUCUCAGAAUGGCCGCAAAGGGGCGCGAGUCUCAGACUGGCCGGGAAGGAGCGCAAAUGGGCUCCAUUGGCCUCGGGCGUUGGUUACGGGGUUGGGUUAGCCCUGCGGUACAAACAAACAAAGCAAAGCUAACCCAACCCCGUAAGCAACGCAAAGCUAAAGCCAAUUUGGCUGAGAUCAAUUGAUUGCAAAGCUAAAGCCAAUUGGGUUGAGAUCAAUUGACUGCAAAGCUAAAGCCAAUUUGGGCAAGAUAAAUUGACUGCACCUGCCAAAAUCGGUGCAACUCUCAGAAUGGCCGCAAAGGGGCGCGAGUCUCAGACUGGCCGGGAAGGAGCGCAAAUGGGCUCC